Molecule: ribosomal RNA, 465 nt
Filed under: uncultured bacterium
Lineage: Bacteria
Description: partial 16S ribosomal RNA
Rfam family: Bacterial small subunit ribosomal RNA
Source: RNAcentral
GACGAACGCUGGCGGCGUGCUUAACACAUGCAAGUCGAACGGAAAGGCCCCUUUGGGGGUACUCGAGUGGCGAACGGGGGAGUAACACGUGAGUAACCUGCCCUUGACUUCGGGAUAACUUCAGGAAACUGGGGCUAAUACCGGAAAGGAAUCCUUGCUUCAUGGUGGGGGUUGGAAAGCUUCGGCGGUUUUGGAUGGACUCGCGGCAUAUCAGCUUGUUGGUGGGGUAGUGGCUUACCAAGGCUGUGACGGGUAGCCGGCCUGAGAGGGCGACCGGCCACAUUGGGACUGAGAUACGGCCCAGACUCCUACGGGAGGCAGCAGUGGGGAAUAUUGCACAAUGGGCGGAAGCCUGAUGCAGCAACGCCGCGUGCGGGAUGACGGCCUUCGGGUUGUAAACCGCUUUCAGCAGGGGCGAAGCUUGUGGUGACGGUACCUGCAGAAGAAGCACCGGCUAACUACGUG